AAAAGGUACUAAGGGCACACGGUGGAUGCCUUGGCGCCAUCAGCCGAUGAAGGACGCAGCCAGCUGCGAAAAGCUCCGGGGAGAAGCAAGCAUUCCGUGAUCCGGAGAUAUCCGAAUGGGGCAACCCGGCUGGAGAAGUCCAGUCACCCGCAUAGUCGGGAGGAACCGGGUGAAGUGAAACAUCUCAGUAACCCGAGGAGAAGAAAUCGAAGAGAUACCCUGAGUAGUGGUGAGCGAAAGGGGAGAAGCCUAAACCGAAGGAGUGUCAAGGCUGCGGCCGUUGCUUUUUCGGGGUUGAGGGAAUUUCGAGGAUACGCCCGCAGGAGUAUCCGGGAGUGACAAACCGUCAAUGUAGUCGAAGUGUAUUGGGAAAGCAUGCCGCAGAGGGUGAAAGCCCCGUAGGCGAAACGUUGACGGCUCCCGCAGGAAUCUCCCGAGUAGGCCGGAGCACGUGGAAUUCCGGUUGAAUCCGGGCCGACCAUGGUCCAAGGCUAAAUACUGAUGGCGACCGAUAGCGAAACAGUACCGAGAGGGAAAGGUGAAAAGCACCCCUGGCGGGGAGUGAAAAAGACCUGAACCCGUGUGCCUACAAUCAAUCGGAGCCGGAAGCGUUCGCGAGAGCGUGGAAGGUGACGGUAUGCCUUUUGUAAAAUGAGCCGGCGAGUCAUUUUCAGUAGCGAGGUUAAGGUCCGUCUGGACUGUAGCCGCAGGGAAACCGAGUCUGAACAGGGCGAAGAGUUUCUGGAAAUGAACCCGAAGCCGCACGAUCUAUCCAUGAGCAGGUUGAAGCCCCGGUGAAACGGGGUGGAGGACCGAACCGGUGCCUGUUGAAAAAGUCUCGGAUGACUUGUGGAUAGGAGUGAAAAGCUAAUCGAGUGCGGUGAUAGCUGGUUCUCCCCGAUAUGCAUUUAGGUGCAGCCUUAUGGAUGACAGAUGGGGGUAGAGCACUGGAUGGACGCGGGGGACUGGGGUCCUGCCAAAUUCAACCAAACUCCGAAUACCACCAUGUUGGACCAUAGGAGUGAGACUGCGGGAGAGAAGUUUCGUAGUCGUGAGGGAAACAGCCCAGACCGUCAGCUAAGGCCCCAAAGGGUAUGCUAAGUGUGGCAAGGAUGUGGAAAUGCCCAAACAGCCAGGAGGUUGGCUUAGAAGCAGCCAUCCUUUAAAGAGUGCGUAACAGCUCACUGGUCGAGGAUUUCCGCGCCGAAAAUACAGGGGGCUAAGCAUACCGCCGAAGCUGCGGGAUUUGUACUUAUGGUAUGGAUCGGUAGGGGAGCGUUCCAUGGUGGGAGAAGUCGUACUGUGAGGUGCGGUGGACGCCAUGGAAGUGAGAAUGCCGGCAUGAGUAGCGCAAAGUAUGUGAGAAACAUACUCACCGGAAGCCCAAGGGUUCCUGGGGAAGGCUAAUCCACCCAGGGUAAGGCGGGACCUAAGGCGAGGCCGAAAGGCGUAGUCGAUGGACAGCAGGCUGAUAUUCCUGCCCCGCAGAGGAGCCGUUUGACUGAAGCAGUGACGCAGGAAGCUAGGUGGACCCGGGUGAUGGAAGUCCCGGGCCAAGGGAGUAGGCAUGCUUUACAGGGAAAUCCGUAGAGCUGAGCCGAGACCUGACGGGGAGUCUCCGUAAGGGAGACGAAGCCAUUGACGCUCAACUGUCAAGAAAAGCUGCUGGGGAGGCUUCUGAGCGCCCGUACCCGAGACCGACACAGGUGGGCUGGCUUAAGAGGCUAAGGUGAGCGGGAUAACUCUCGUUAAGGAACUCUGCAAGUUGACCCCGUAACUUCGGGAGAAGGGGUGCCGCUCUGGUGAAGACAAUGCUGUUGGAGCUGAGAGCGGUCGCAGAAACCAGGCUCAGGCGACUGUUUACUAAAAACACAGGUCUCUGCAUAAGGCGCAAGCCGAAGUAUAGGGACUGACACCUGCCCGGUGCUGGAAGGUUAAAUGGAGAGGUUAGUGCAGUGAUGUGCGAAGCUUUGAAAUGAAGCCCCAGUAAACGGCGGCCGUAACUAUAACGGUCCUAAGGUAGCGAAAUUCCUUGUCGGGUAAGUUCCGACCU
This 2053-nucleotide ribosomal RNA is filed under the name bioreactor metagenome. RNAcentral's name for it is "bacterial LSU rRNA". It matches the Rfam family "Bacterial large subunit ribosomal RNA", at positions 1 to 1989 of the family's 2925-position model. The record is from RNAcentral.